CCUACGGGAGGCAGCAGUGAGGAAUAUUGGACAAUGGGCGCAAGCCUGAUCCAGCCAUGCCGCGUGCAGGAAGAAGCAUCUAUGGUGUGUAAACUGCUUUUGUACAGGAAGAAACACUCCCUCGUGAGGGAGCUUGACGGUACUGUAAGAAUAAGGACCGGCUAACUCCGUGCCAGCAGCCGCGGUAAUACGGAGGGUCCGAGCGUUAUCCGGAAUCAUUGGGUUUAAAGGGUCCGUAGGCGGUUUAAUAAGUCAGUGGUGAAAUCUGGUCGCUCAACGAUCAAACGGCCAUUGAUACUGUUAGACUUGAAUUAUAAGGAAGUAACUAGAAUAUGUAGUGUAGCGGUGAAAUGCUUAGAUAUUACAUGGAAUACCAAUUGCGAAGGCAGGUUACUACUUAUGGAUUGACGCUGAUGGACGAAAGCGUGGGGGUAGGCGACGAGAGUAGUAUACCUCGGUAGUCGACGACCGUAACGAGUAGGAGUACUAGCUGUUCGGUAGGCAUACUGUAGUGGUCGUAAGACGAAGUAGAGUAAGUAGUACCCGACCCGUCGGGGUAAGGUUACGGUUCGUUCGAAGAAGUUAGAAACGUACGAAGGAAGUUAGUACGGCGUUGAGACGUUGCCGACGGACGACGACGAGGGAGGUUAGGAG
RNAcentral lists this ribosomal RNA (654 nucleotides) under uncultured bacterium. Its description in RNAcentral is "bacterial SSU rRNA". The stretch from base 1 to 549 matches the Rfam family "Bacterial small subunit ribosomal RNA", at positions 338 to 873 of the family's 1533-position model. The record is from RNAcentral.